GGCCCAGUCGCACUUGGUGUGCAUCUGCUUUCAAUGCAGGACGUGGUACAGAUUGAAGCAGAAAAACCUGGUUCGAAUCCAGGCUGGGUCA
Non-coding RNA from Mycena leptocephala, 91 nucleotides. Lineage: Eukaryota; Fungi; Basidiomycota; Agaricomycetes; Agaricales; Mycenaceae. The record is from the annotation of a GenBank genome assembly.